Molecule: long non-coding RNA, 2906 nt
Organism: Cygnus atratus (black swan)
Lineage: Eukaryota; Metazoa; Chordata; Aves; Anseriformes; Anatidae
Exons: 2
Source: RefSeq, a predicted model, not a curated record
AAAUGAAUACAGCAAUGGCUGGAAGCCUGAAUUGUCUUCCACAUUCUUUGAUGGAUUUGGUGCUUGCUGCUCUAAGCUGCUGCAGGGAGGGUCACCAAUGGAUGCACGAAGGUAAAGCUGAGACCACAACGGGGCUCAGAGCUGUCUGAUUUUCUUCCCAAAGCUUAUAUUACAAGUCUAAAGAUUAUCUGGAUAUUCUUUUGCUAGCCACUUGAGAAAUAUUUGGGAUUCAGGAGACACAAGACAUGCUGAAGUUCUUGGAAACUAUGUGUCAGCCUCGGUGGCUCUAAAUGGAAAAAAGGGCUGUAGAGAAAUCUGACCAACACCAAGCAACUGUUCUGAAGAAUGCGGCUUAAGAUUUUCAAAGCAAAGUCAGCCUGCUCAUGCAUGCAGCUGUACUAGAGGAGCACAAAAAGCAGAGAGCGGACCACUGCAGCGAGAAGCAUUCCUGGUUCAUCAAUUCUGCAUGAAAGAUUUUCCUUUGUAAUACACUGAGAUUGAAACGUUCUUCACUCUAAUUGACCUUAAAGAAUAACCACUGGUACAAAGAUUUACUAGCUGAUAAUUACAGCCCUUCAUUUAUGAGAUUUAGGUUUUCAACCAGAGUCUGAGAAUGACAGAACAUGAGUCUUACGGCUUCUCCCUGAGUCCAGAGUGCCUGGGUACGAAACCUUAUCUGAGACUGCGGGAAGGGAGAAGUGUAUUGUCACCCUGAAUUUCACAGGGUGGCAUCAAAACAAGGAUGUCUUCCACAGUGUAUCUUUUAUUAAUGCACCUCAUUUUACCCAAGUGUUGUGAAAUGCAAAACUAAUAAGGGUUUCUGUCAAGAGCUCUGUUUGUUACAGUUUUUAUCAUUUUAUGCUGUAUUUUAUUUUAUUAUCAUACACCAUAACUUUUAUUUUAAACUUAGUAAUUACUAAGUAAUUACUAAGUAGAGGAGAUAUAGGCUGUGCUGCCCGUAGUUAAGGCUGCCCAUAAUUUCUUAGAAUAAGAUUUUUUUUUGUAUAUUUUAUUCAAGAUGUUUGCUUGACAACACCAAGUCUUAAAAUGCAGGAAAAUACCAGUAUUAGGGUCAGGAGUGUAUCUUUAAAUUUUCUUCUUCCCCUUAGUUGUAGGUAUUACGCCAUGUUCCUUCAAUACAUUAUCACAAGUCCCUUCUUCUAUCAGACUUCUACCUCAUUCAGUGCACAGAGUGGAUCAUUUCCUAGGCUUCAAUUAGGAUUUAUUACUGAAGGGGACUUUUGUCUGAGAUGUUUGUUUCAGGGUUUAGUUGAGAACAGAGAACGUGUCACUGGGUUGCAAGAAGAGAAAGGAUGGUUUCAUAAUUAAAGAGUAUGAAAUGCUGCCAUUUAGUACCACACUCUGUCACUGUACAAGCUUGUCAGAAAGAGUCAUUAACAGAUACCUUCAGUUCGCAGAUUCUUCCACAUCAUCUCAGGAAGGCAUAGAACCAUCUGCGACAUUCCAAGAUUUGCAGCAUCAUACUGGAGGUUUUGGGAAACACGUAGCUAGUCACCCUCAGCCAACCCGAAAUCCACUCCCUCCUCUCCUCCAGGCUCUUGUCAGAAACCCAGGCUUUUCAAAAGAGUUUUUAGUAGAUACAAAGUGGAAAUCUGAGCAUGUUUAGACUGACAAAGUCUACAUUAAUUUAUAUGAGAAAAUCCCCAUGGGUUUGUUUUAAGAUUAUGCUGUUGAAAUUGGCUUCUUCCCAUUAUUUCCACACCCAGACAUGACAACAAAUCUGCUGAGUCCCAUGGCUUUGACAUCUUGCAUAAAGAAUUCAGGGUCAAUAGGAUGGAGGAUAUGACUGUGUUAACUCAGGCCCAUUUCCCUUGACAAAGUUUUGGCUAAAGAACUGAGUUUUCCACUCCUCUCAUCUACUUGAUAGAGAGAAAAAAGUAUGGAAAGGAUGACUGAUGUUCUAGGUAGGGCACGUGCAUUGAUUUUCAUAUAUAAAUAUGAAACAGUCUCAGAGCAAAAGACAAUAUAAAUUAUUUAUGCAAAUUACAUUCAACAUAAGGUGGACGUAAAUUGCAGUGGUAAUUGGCACGAGAGGAAUGGUGAUAAUUCACCACUUUACAAAAGUGUAUCACACUUUAGACUGCUGUCUAGAUAAAUCCAUUCUUACAAAGAUACUUCAGUAAUCUCCUUGGAAGUACAUCAUCUAAACUGAGUAAUAUCAGUUUGAGUUACAAAUAUGAGCUCUUCUUAUCUAGAACUUAAGGUCAGUAGCAGAUGUUACAAAUUCCUAUAGAUGCAUGCCCAAAGAGAAGGAUUUUAUUUAUUUAUUUAUUUAUUUUUUAAUGGCAGAAAUCUGCUAGCUAUUCUUGCCUUAUCUGCAACAGCUGAGCAAUCUUUCAGUGCCAUGAGGAGAUUGAAAACUUGGCUCAUAUCUAGCAUGGACAAGCUUGCCUUAAUCACAUUGCUCUUUUACAUGUGCACAAGGACAUCAACAUUGACAGUGCUACAGUAAAGCAGCCAUUUGCUGAAAACAACUGUCAACAUUGUCAAGUUUUUUGGAACCUUUUAUAAUGUGAUUUGUGUGACAAAGCUUGUAUAAUUCUGUUUAUCAGCUGUAGUAACAAUUUUCCAUAAGAGGUAUAUAUGGAGAAAUACACUGGAGCUUGAUUUUCUAUUACCUGACACUCUAAAGUAAAUUAAUUAGAAAGCAUUACAAAGUAAAUGAACUGCAACAGCCAGAGCUUCUAGUCCCAUUUAAAGCAAUUUUUAGAGUUUUCACAAAAAGUUACAAAAACUGUAGUAAAAAUAUUUUUGUCUUUCAUUUAAAAGUCAGGCUUUUUAUAAAACUUCUAUACAUAUUCCUUUGUAUAUUAAUCUUGCCAUUGUGCCUGCAAAUAUAUGCUUGAAGAAAAAAAAAAUCCAAAUUAAAUUGUGUGUGCUGCUAA